UCUUUGACACUAUUGGUAUGUUGGUAGAUAUUAUUUGUGGUGAACCUUAAAUCAUUAUUCCUCUUCAUUUCUUCCACCGACCAAAAUUGUAGCUCCGAAAUUCAAUCGACAAUAUCGUGACUACUUCUAUAUCUCUGAAAAUUCAAAUCUACUUAUUGAAUGGGGAUUUGGCUGAGUAGAGGAGCAAUUUUAGUUUCUGCACAUCGAAAGGUAUGUAUUGCUCAUUUUUUACAGAGCAUAAAUUGUUGACUUUCUCUAAAUCAUUGGUGUUUUGCUUUACUGACCACUAAAGCUAAAAUUCUUCACUCAUACUAUAUUAUUUUUACUUUAUUAAUCCAACCCCUUCAUUGGGUUUUUGUGAAUUUUUUAUUGUGCCCUUGAUUUGUUGUUUGUUGCUUUGUAGAUCAUAACCUGAUUUUAUUUAUAUAUUCUGUUGAUUUUUUUUUUUGCUCUAUUUGUGGAUAUUUAUUAAUUGGGUAAAACAUAUUUCGUGCAUUUUCCUUCAAAGCCUGAUUGAUCUAUACGCUUUGCAUGCGAGUUUGUUGUUUAUUUGUUUUUAUUAUGAUAAUUUGGGAUGUCUUCAAUGAGGAAUGAGUGGGCAAUGUGGUGAAAAUGAAUUUUGUGUAUUUGAGAGAUUCGGUGUGUUUUUGGGAAAGAGAACUUGCCAUCUGGGCCUCCGACUUGGUUGUAGCUAAGAAUUUUUCAUCUCAAAAAAUUUUGAUAUUUCACCAGCAACUGUUGAUAAUUAAUUGGAUUCUGAUGUUAUGAGGAAAAAAAUUGAUUUAACGCUAAGGGUUUUACUUAAAUUUUCGAUUCUUAAAUAAAGAGUUGGUUCGAAUUUAAUUCUGUGAGGCUUAUAUAUAUUUUAUUGAUGUAAAUAAUGAGGUUUAUUGUUUGUUGAAUAUAAAUAAUUAGUGAAUGUUUUUAAGUAGGUAAGGGACCAUUUUUUUCCCGAUGUUGGAUAGAGUAAUCUCAUACUUACGUUUAGCGCUGUUUUAAUCCAUAAACAUUGCGAAAUUGAGGGUUUAUAGUUCAUGGAUAGAAUCAUAUUUCUGCUAACAUUGGGCUUGAUGUUUACUAUUGAUGUUUGACGUAGCUUUCUUCAAUAAACAAAUGUGAUAACAUUGAAUUCCAUUUCACUUUCCCGUUAUACUCUAUUCUCAACAUGAGGGAACAAAAGAAAAUCUUAAUUGGUUUUGGUGGGUGUGAACAUGCCUAGAUGUAUGUUGUUGUCUUCUGUAUUUCUCUUCAUAGUUACUGGAAAAUCUAUGUUUUUACUCUUUCUUCGGGUAAUUGGAGAGUUAUUAUGGGAAGUAAGUUGUACUUGUGUUUAUAGCUUAUGGUUUGCACUUUUCUAAGGCAAAUUGGUCUUAAGCAAGUAAGUUGAGCAUCUACUUGUUGCGAAGCUUUUGUGUUUAUUGUAAUCUAGAUGUAUAAAAAACUUGAUUUGAGGCGUUUGUUAGUUCAAAUAUGUGCGAGAUGCUAUUACUUAUCCGAUAAUCUUAGGGCUUCAACUACUAAACUGUAGUAGAAAGCUGACAAUAGAAAUGAUAUAUAUGCUUGAAGUGGAAGGUUGAACUUUAAUGACAAUGUUCCGUGUGUGGCCUUGUAAGGGAUUUGAUUACAGUCGAAGAAAUGAAAUAAAUCAUAUGUUCAGUUUUAUGUACUUACUAUUUGCCUUAUCAAAUUUUUUGAACCUAUAUUUCAAUUCUUUCUAUGCUGUCUUUAGAGUUUAAAGCCUUCGUUUGAUGUCUUUGAAGAGAACUCACAUUUAGAUGGGCUCCACAACUUGUUCGAGUAGAGAAGAUGUGUGAAGACAUUUCAAUGAAAUCCCACAAUGCCCUUGUUUGAGCCCCAUUUUGGAGGAAAAAUGUAUUUUUGAAUAGUGUACUGAUGAAAAAUGUGUGGUUAAAAUAUAAGAAAAAGUUUUGAAUUUACGUAUGAUAUUAUUUUAUUGAAAAAUGUGUGAUUGAUAUGAUAUUAAAAUACUGUUGAAAAAUGUAUUUUUUUUUUCAAAGAAUGAGGCUCAAACAAGGGCAAAAUCAAAUAACUACACGUGCAACGCAUGUGCGUUCACUAGUAACUUCUAAAAUAAGAAUUAACAAAAAUGAGCAAUUAAUUGAUCAAUGACUUAAUAAGGUUCCAUCGUUAAUCCUAGCCACAAAUGGUUUAUCCUGUCAUGUUAUGAUCCAAAAAAUACAAGAUAAAUAUCAAAACACAUUAGAUUAAUAAUUUUAGAAUAAAUGUUACAACCCUUUAUCUUGAACUUUUUCAAUGAUCUUCAGAAUCAUCUAAAGCCUAAUAAAUUUCUUGUAAUUUUUACUCCUAAUAAUUAUGAUGUAAAACAGAGUGAAAUUCUCCCUAUGCGUUUUCUAUUACGUGGAAAGAAAUCUCCAUUUUCUUGACCUAUAUUUGUACUUCAUAUAGCCCUUAAUUUGACUUGAAUAUUGUGUACUUCAAUGAGCCGAGUUGAGUCGAGCUUUUUUUGGUCCAAGUUGCUCGGCCAGAAAAUUAAGGCUCGAUCCGAGCUUUCGGCUCUGGCUUUACCGAGCCGAGCUGGGCCGAGCUCAAUUUCUGGAUUUUUUUUUUUUUAAUAUAUACCUCGUUGCCUGUUUGGCAGCAGCAGAUUUGCUGCCGACUGGCAGCUUGAUAUGGCUGCCUGUUUGGCAGCUAUUUGAGAUUUUUCUUCUCUUUUUCCUUUUUUUAUUUUUUUAAAUAAUACGGGCCGGCCCGGCUCGAGCCAACUCUAAAAAAUGAGGCUCGGUGCCUCCAAGCCUUGAAUUGAGCCGGCUCGAACUUUUUCCAAGUCGAACCACGAGCAGCCAAAAUCGACGAGCCCGCUUGUGAUCUCUAUACAAUAAUAUGCAUUAUUGUAGUCGAUUAGCAGCGACAAACACAGAUAAUCCCUUAAAUGGCUCGGCCCUUAAUUGCACGAGCUCAGGCUAGGCUCAUGGGCACGUCAAUUAUUAUUAUUAUUAUUAUUUUUAAAAAAAUUUACAAAUAAACGAAAUAAUAGAAAACACUUUUAAAAAAAAAAUAAAGUGUUAAGAAAUACAAAUAAUUUAAUGAAAAUAAUUUUUUAUUUUUUUUAUUUAUAUCAUAUUAUCAUACUUUUUAUAAAGUAUAAAAUAUUUAUAUAAUGAAGACGAAUUAUUUUUUAAAAUACAUUCACAAAAAAUAUAUUUUUUUGAUUUCUUUUUAAAGUAGAUAAAAUGUAAAUCCUCCUCCUUUAUCCGGGCUUGGGGCCGGCUACAUCAAUUUUAAAUAUGCGGAGUUAAAAAUUGUACACGAACUUGUUGUAAUGUGUACAAAUUUUUAAAGAAAACUAAAUUUAACGUUUAAAAAAUAAAGAAAUUUUGAUUAAUAUAAUUAAAUCAAAUAUCACUUACCUGACGACAUGCAAUUUCAGCAUAUUUAUCUUGUAGUCGAAAAUGAGCGUCUUGUCAAUCCGUCACACACAUUAACGCUUCCAAAACAUCUUUUCAGUCUGCUCCUGACAUCGGUUAAAAUUCUUUUACAUGCACUAAAAGCAGACUCCGAAACAACAGUGCUAACCGGAUGUGUCAACAAAUCUUUCGCAAUUGCAGAAACAAUUGGGCAACAUUUUUCAUACUUUCGUCAGAAUUCAAUUAUUUCUGCUGAACUAUUUUUUAAUUGUUCUGUCUGUUGGCAUAUUAUGAUUGAAGUAAUCAAUUAAUUCGGCAGGCAUCGCAUUUUGAGUUUUGGUCGAUGUUUGAUGAGAUGCAAAUGUAGACGACAUGACACUAGAUGAACACAUUGUAGUUGCAUCAUAUCUAAAUGUAUUAAUGCCUUGAAAUAAAUUCAUUAUUUCGACAUCAUCUUUUUCAAUUUCAGCAGAAGGAGUAGGUGCAGAGGGUAACUCGACUAACAUUCGCACCCAUUCUUUCCGCAUAUAAAUCAUACAUUCCACAUAAUGUUUGCUCUAAAUUCUUAUAGGUGAUAAGUGUAUCAAGUAUUAAAGCUUUAUUAAUUUGAUCAAUUACGUAUUUAGUUUCCGAAAUAUUAUAUUAAGGGUCCAUUGCGCAUGCUAAAGGAAAUAAUAUAGGCAGUUCUUCCCAAUAUUUUCUAAACUUCAAUUUCAUAGCAAUUAAAAUUUCACUAAAAGUAUGAUUAUUUUUAUAUUUAUGGAAUGUUCUUGCAAUUAUAUAAAGGCGUUCAAGAAUCAUACAACUUGUAGGAUAAUAAACGCUCGAUAAAAUCUUUAUGGUCUCAUAAAAAGAUGUCAAAAACCGUUUAACUUUCAAAACUAAAAUCCAAUCGGAUUCAUUUAACAUACCAUCGUCAUCACUUCUAACGUGUCUAUUGUUAUAAAAAUCAGUUAUUAAAUUUUUAUAAACAUUCACAUGACUUUAAUAGCAAGUGAGUAGAGUUCUAUCUAUGAUCUACGUCGCUAACAAAUGUUUUAGUAGUCGUCACCCCUAGUUCGGCACAAAAAUCUUCAAAUACUUGUGUUUCUACUAAGAGAUAUCGUAAUAUAUACUAAUACAUUCCUAAUCUUUUGAAAUUCAUCCUUUAUAUGUUUUAAACCAUCUUGCGCAAUUAAAUUUAAGAUAUGACACACACAACGAAUAUGAAACAAAUACCCACCAAAAUCAGGUUGAAGUGUCCUACACAAUUUAUCGACGACUACCUUAUUAAAACUAGCAUUAUCAAAAGUAAAAUGCCGAUUUUUAGUCUCGCAAUGAUAUUUUCUAACAAUACUGAUAAUAACAUUAUAUAUGUUAUUAGCAUUGUGAGGAAACUCAAUAAUUCUAAAAGCAAUAAUUUUCUUAUGUAUGCACCAAAGUGGGUCUAUAUAGCGUGCAGUUGAAGCUAUAUAUGCUCUUUUAUUAACCCUUUCCAUAUAUCAGAAGUUAAAGAUAUAACACCCCCAUAUUGUUGUAAAUCCAUAAUUAAUUGUUGUUUUGAAUUAUUGAAAUAAUUUAUUGUAUCAGCACACGAAGAGUGCUUUGACUUACCCCAACGUACCUCGGUUGUAGAUAUUCUUUCACGAACGAGACGAAGUGUUGGCUGUCUGCAAUAGCCAGAGGCAACUCAGUGACGGCAAUAAAUUUCACCAUUUUGGUUCUAGUAUUGUCCUCCGAGUACACCCACGUGGAUAGGGGUGAAGUUGUAGAACCGGCACCUGAACUGCCAAAUUGUAAUUGUGUUUGACCAGCUAGAAGAAGUCAAUGUUUGGCCGCACAUGCUUUGUAUUGGCGGUUGAGAUGGGUGGUACCAAUUCCUUUUUGUUAUGCCAAUCUUUUUUGGUAGUAUUUACAUACUGCUUUACAUUCUGCAAGGCCAUUGACGACUUUUUCCAUUGAAAUUAACUUAAAGUGAUCCCAACAAUUUGCUUUUUUUUGGCCUUUCGCUUUCCCUUCGCAUUUGGGAUGUUUAAUUCAUCAUCUUCAUUCUCAUGCUCCGCUUCAGGAACGUUAAUAUCAUACAAAUCAAUUGAAUUGUGGCUUCCCUGAAUGUGAACAUCUUCAGGUAUCGAUAGGUCAUUUAGACCGAGAAAUUCAUUUGAAAAUUGACUUUGCGGCAUCCUAGGCAAUUCGCCAGGAUGUGGUAUCAAACUAACUUUCAACAAAUGAGCGUUGAUCUAUUUGUUUGAUUGUUUCUGAUGAAAUUUUAACUAGAAGAAUAUAAAUGUAGUGAGAUUGUGAGAACUGAGAAUUAGAUGAAUUGAAAUUGUAACUAAUAAAAUGUAAAAAGUGAAUUGAUAUUGUAUAUUUUUCAUUACAAGAGAGUAAAAACUCGAUAAUUGAUAUAAUAAAAGAGAGUUGAGAGAGUUGGAGAUUCGGAGUAGCAAUUGAUAUGAAAAAAAAAUCUUUAAGGGAAGAGGUAUUUAUAGUAGAAGGGGGGGAAUUAAAAAAUAAAAAAAUUCAGUGACCGAAACGGUCACUGAAUUUAUUCAGUGUUGGUCACUUUUUUGGUCACUUAGAUUUUUUGGCUAGACGAGCUAGAGCCGCUCGGCUUGUGGCUCGUUGUUUGUAACGAGCCGGCUCGCCUCCCGGCGAGGCCAGUUCAACUCGUGCAAGUACAUAAUGACUAUCAGGUGAUCGUGAGAUAGGUAUUAUCUAAUUUAGAAGCGAAGGAAGACGGAAUGGCCGCCCAGAGACGGAGUCAGACCUUUGGUUUUGCAGGGUAAAAAAUUGAAAACAAUGUCUAAACUUGAUAUUGAGAAUAAUUUCUUUUGAAUAAGCAAUGUAUAUCUCGGCAAAUCGCAAUCACCUAUCUACUAAAAUAUACAAAUGGAGGUUAAAAGGUAUUGUCCAAUUUCAUAACACAUCAAAUUUCUAUUGUGGACAGUGAACAAGCUUAAGGGAAAAAUGAGGUCACGACCAUAAAACUUUGAAACACAUUUUUAAUAUCAAGAUAAUUGAGGUACAAACUAGAGUCUAGAGAGUAGAGAUUAAGGGAUAACUGGACAAGAGUAAAUAUAUAAUAUAUUUUUCCAAGUUUCAACGAGCAGAAAUGUACUUGCAUAUCUCAAAUUUAAAAAUGAAAAACAACUAAUUAAAGGAAAAUGUCCAAAUUGAUAGGAAAAACUAAAGUUACAUCCAAAUCCAAUUAAUACAGGUUUGCUAACGUAGAUAGAACUUGUAAGAAAAACAAAUGUCAAACAAAUAGAUGGUAGAUUUGUUACUUAAAUGGAAGAAAAAUCACAAAAUUAGUACAAGAAAAGAAAAUCCCAAAAUAUGAAUUGCGAUUUGGCGAUCUCUUUGUGUCGGUCGAUUCUUCAUUUUCUUCUCUCUGUGGGGCUUUAGGGCAAUGGAUGGUUGUUCAAGACUCCAAAUGCAUAUGGAAUGAUGAAAAAGCAAAAUUUGGCAAUGGGCUUGUGCAAUUGGACUUGUCAAUAGGCAAAGUUGUGGUUAAUUUACAUCCCUUUUUAUCUUAGAAGAGAGAAUGUGAGAUUUACUGUUCAUUUUUUUACAUAGGUUUUCACACGAAAUUGGUUUGAAACCGAUUUGACAACAAUAAAUCAUUCUAUUCAAUGACGCUGUAGCAUUAUUUUCCCACGACAUUUCACCAUUUUCACACGUCAUUUCACUGUGAUGUCACCACCACUUCAUUAUUUCUCUAUUUUCACACACCACUUCACUUGAUUAAAGGAAAUACCAUAGCUUAUAUAAUAAAUAAACGAAAUUAAAUAUAAAGACUAUUUUAAAAAAAAUUGCAGAUAAAAAUAGAAAAAAAAAUUAUUAAAAAGUUUUUGAAGUAAAUUAAAAUGAUUUUUAAAAAAUAAAUAUUAUUUAAUUCAAAUUUAAUGAAUGUCUUUAUAUCAUAAGGAAUGUAUAAAGAUUAUUUUAUUAAACCAAAUUAAACAAAUAAAAUAAAAGAAAGUUACAAAAAUUGAAAAAAUAAUAUAUAAAUAUUAUUUAAUUAAUUAAAAUUGAAAAAUCUAAAUUUAAAAAAAUAACAAAAAACCUCUCUAUGGAUCUCUCCGUCCACAGAGAAAAUCUUUGCUUUCAAAAGAUGAGUUUUCCCCCUUUGACUUUUCAAAAUGAGAGAAUUUUCCUUUUGCAUAGAGUGAUAACACUCCGUGCACGGAGUGAUAAUAAUUUUUUUCUUAAAUUUUAUUUAUAGUAAUUUUUUUAUUAAUAAAUAUUUAAUUUUAAAAGAAUCCCUCCAUAUUUUAAAAGAGAGUGUGAGGUUUACUGUUCAUUUUAUUAGUGAUAAUUUUUUUUACGUAAAAGUUAUUCUUUAUUUCUAAAAUACAAAAAGUUACUUAUAAUUAAAAAGAGAACUUCAAGUUAUUUGAAAGUAAAACGAACUUAUAAUUGCAAAAGUUACUUAUAAGUAAAAAAUAUUAACUUCAAAUUUUUUAAGUAUAAAUAUUUAGAUAUAUUUAGUUUUUUUAAAUUAAAUAUUAACAAAAAGAUGCACUAUCUAGAAUGGAAAAAGUUACAUAUAAGUAAAAAAAAUCACUUCAAGUUAUUUAAAAGUAAUAACAAAAACUUAUAAUUGUAAAAGCUACUUAUAGAUAAAAAAUAUUAACUUUAACAUUUUUAAUUAAAUAUUUAGAUAUGUUUAAUUUUUUAAAUUAAAUAUUAAUAAAAAAAUUGCUAUAAUUAAAAAAAAGUCAACUAUCCAUGCAUAUGUUUUUUUUUUUUUAAUUAUAGUAAUUUUUUAUUAACAUUUAAUUUUAAAAAAUUAAAUAUAUCUACUUACUAAAAAAUGUUGAAGUUAAUUUAUUUUUUUUUAUUAAUAAGUAGCUUUUACAAUUAUAAGUUUUUUUUUAUUACUUUUAAAUAAUUUGAAGUAAUUUUUUUACUUAUAAUUAUUUUUUUACAUUCUAAAUAAUGUAAUUUUUUUUAUUAAUAUUUAAUUUAAAAAACUAAAUAUAUCUAAAUAUGUAUACUCAAAAAAUUUUAAAUUAAUAUUUUUUUACUUAUAAGAAGCUUUUGCAAUUAUAAGAGAAGGAGGUAUUAAUAUAUUUUUUUUACCUAUAAGUAACUUUUACAAUUAUAAGUUUUUUUAUUACUUUUAAAUAACUUGAAGUGCUUUUUUAACUUAUAAGUAAUUUUUACAUUUUAUAUAGUGUAAUAUUUUUAUUAAUAUUUAAUUUAAAAACUAUAUAUAUCUAAAUAUUUAUACUUAAAAAAAUUUAAGUUAAUAUUUUUUUACUUAUAAGUAGCUUUUAUAAUUAUAAGUUUGUUUUACUUUUAAAUAACUUGAAGUGAUCUUUUUAUUUAUAAGUAAUUUUUUACAUUUUAGAAAUAAAGAAUAACUUUUACGUAAAAUUUAUUUAAAAAAAUAUUAUUACUAAUAAAAUUAUAGGAUAUAGUUGAAAGUGUGAGAAAAUGAAAAAAGAAUACUGUGUGUCAGAUUCAAAGCAUGUAAGUUGCAGGUAAAAUAGAAAACGACGUCGCUUCUACUCCACCAAUUAAAAAAAAAAAGUUACAGUGUGGCAAAAUAUUAUUUAAAAAAAUAUUACUACUAAUAAAAUUAUAGAAUAUGAUUGAUAGUUGAUAGCGUGAGAAAAUAGAGAAAGAGUAUUGUGUAUUAGAUUCAAAGCUGGACGAUUCAUUUUUGUCACAUACGUUUUCACAUUCAGCUGGUUUGAAAUGGGUUUGGUCAAAUUGGUUUGAUUUUUUUUAUUAUAUUAUUUCUCCUUAUCUUACUGUUUAUUUUUGUCGUAUUGAUUUUCACAUUGAACAUGUUUGAAACUGGUUUGGUCUUUUAAAUCCGACACACAGUACUCUUUCUCCAUUUUCUUACACUAUCAACUAUCAACCAUAUCCUAUAAUUUUAUUAGUAGUAAUAUUCUUUUAAAUAAUAUUUGAAUCUUUACUUUCAAAAUGAGAGUUUUCUCCUUUUGACUUUUCAAAAGGAGAGAAUUCUCCUUUUUAACACUCCGUGCAUGGAGUGAUUCCACUCCGUCCACGGAAUGGUGAUAUAUUUUUUUUAAAUUUUAUUUAUAGUAAUUUAAUAUUAAUAAAUAUUUAAUAAAAAAAAUCCCUCCAUAUCUUAGAAGAGAGAAUGUGAGGGUUACUGCUCAUUUUAUUUUUUUAAAUAUUUUUUUACAUAAAAGUUAUUCUUUAUUUCUAAAAUGUAAAAAAUUACUUAUAACUCAAAAGAUUACUUCAAGUUAUUUAAAAGUAAAAUGAAUCUAUAAUUACAAAAGUUACUUAUAAGUAAAAAAUAUUAAUUUCAAAUUUUUUAAGUAUAAGUAUUUAGAUAUAUUUAAUUUUUAAAAUUAAAUAUUAAUAAAAAGAUUGCAAUAUCUAGAAUAUAAAAAUUUACUUAUAAAAAAAAUCACUUCAAGUUAUUUAAAACUAAUAACAAAAACUUAUAAUUGUAAAAGCUACUUAUGGAUAAAAAAGAAUUAACUUUAAUAUUUUUAAUAAAUAUUUUGAUAUAUUUAUUUUUUAAAAUUAAAUACUAAUAAAAAAUUACUAUUAAAAAAAACUCACUUCGUGCACGUAGUGAUGGCCACUCCAUGCACAGAGUGGUCAUCAGGUGCAUGGAGUGAUUUUUUACUUAUAAGUAAAUUUAAUUUAAAUAUAUCUAAAUAUUUAUUUAAAAAUGUUGAAGUUGAUAUUUUUUUUAUCAGGACCUGUUUGGGCCACAUUAUUCCAAAAAAAAUGCAUUAUUAAACAGUAAUUUGACAUCAUUUCAACCAUAUUCUUCAAUAAAAUAAUAUUACACGCAAAUCAAAAACUUUUCCUUAUUUUUUAAUCAUACAUUUUCCAUCAAUACAUUAUUCAAGAAUGCAUUAUUAACAAAAUAAUGUGGCUCAAACACCCCCUCAAUAAGUAGCUUUUACAAAUAUAAGUUUUUGUAUUACUUUUAAAUAACUUGAAGUGAUUUUUUAAUUAUAAGUAACUUUUUACAUUAUAGAUAAUGUAAUUUUUUUUAUUAAUAUUUAAUUUACAAAAAUAAAUAUAUCUAAAUAUUUAUACUUAAAAAAUUUUAAGUUAAUAUUUUUACUUAUAAGUAACUUUUGUAAUUAUAAGAGAAGGAUGGAUUAAUAUUUUUUUACCUAUAAGUAGCUUUAAUUUACAAUUAUAAGUUUUUUAUUAUUUUAAAUAACUUGAAGUGUUUUUUUACUUAUAAGCAAAUUUUUAUUUUUUAGAUAGUGUAAUCUUUUUAUUAAUAUUUAAUUUUAAAAUAAAAAUAAAAAACUCUUAAAAGAUGGGAUUGUGAUCACUAUUAAUUCUUGUCACUUGAAUUUUCACACUUGCUUGGUUUGUACUAUUUAUUAAUUGGUUCAUAAAAUGUCUCUUAAAAGUGGGUUUCGCUCUCUCUCACUUUCAUUCUUCAUGGCAAAGAAAACACUAUUACAAUGAUUUUCAAAAUCUGAGAUAUUGAAACUCAGAGAGUUGAAUGAGAGAUCUUGAGAAGGAAACUACAGUAUGAAAUGUAUGAAGUGAAAAGAUAAUCUGCAAUAGUUAAUUAAUUGAAAGCAUUGGAUAUGCUAUUUGAGCGAAAAAGAUUUGGUGAUUAUUGAUUGUUUUUUAGUUUUCUAUGUUAUUUGCAUUCAGUGUGUUUCAUUAUCGUUUAAAAAUGCGUGAUAUUUUUAGACUUUAUAUAUGCUGAACUGAGAACUUUAGAAAUUACGCUGACUGAUGCUCUGACUUUCUUUUAUUUUGUAGCUAGGGCCUCAAGAAUGUCCAUAUCAGUAUCUUAUGAAACAUGAACUGAAGAAUGCAACAUUUUAUCUUUAUCUUACUCUUUC
RNAcentral lists this long non-coding RNA (11188 nucleotides) under Olea europaea (common olive). RNAcentral describes it as "long non-coding RNA (OEUR_LNC010022)". Lineage: Eukaryota; Viridiplantae; Streptophyta; Magnoliopsida; Lamiales; Oleaceae. The record is from RNAcentral.